RNAcentral lists this transfer RNA (359 nucleotides) under uncultured Microcystis sp. Its description in RNAcentral is "partial 16S-23S ribosomal RNA intergenic spacer". The stretch from base 135 to 208 matches the Rfam family "tRNA". The record is from RNAcentral. Lineage: Bacteria; Bacillati; Cyanobacteriota; Cyanophyceae; Chroococcales; Microcystaceae.
AAAGGGAGACCUAAUUCAGGUAGGAGACGAAAAAAAGUAGUCCCUACCAAGAAUCAAUCCCAAAAGGUCGGAGCGAGGCAAAAUUGGCUUUCAAACUAGGUUCUGGGUUCACAUAAGACCUGAAUCAGGAACAAGGGCUAUUAGCUCAGGUGGUUAGAGCGCACCCCUGAUAAGGGUGAGGUCCCUGGUUCGAGUCCAGGAUGGCCCACCUGCACAGGUGGCAAAAACAAAGAAGCGAGGAAUCAGCACCUUAUCUUACUUAUAUAGUAAGAGAGAAUGCUGGCUCUGAGUUCAGAGUCCAGAGGAACCUUGAAAACUGCAUAGAGCUAGGUGAAAAAGCCAAAAAAGAAGACCGCAAG